This is a long non-coding RNA of Lemur catta (Ring-tailed lemur), 222 nucleotides long. RefSeq lists it as uncharacterized. The record is from RefSeq and is a predicted model, not a curated record. The transcript has 3 exons. NCBI's taxonomy places the organism in Eukaryota, Metazoa, Chordata, Mammalia, Primates, Lemuridae.
CCCAUGCAGGUGUCCUCGCUGGAUCCUGGAAACUACCCUAGCCCUUGUCCCAAAUAAUUGGACAAGUGAUGAACUUUUGCUAACAGAAUUUGGCAUCCAUGGGUGGGCUCAUCAGUGCCCUGGUGGAAUGGCACCCCACAACUGCUGGAAGAGGCAGGGAGCAGCCCUGGGUCAAAGCCGUGGGUCUUUGCAGAACCCCUGCCAGAAGCCCUGCCAGAACCC